Molecule: ribosomal RNA, 497 nt
Filed under: uncultured bacterium
Lineage: Bacteria
Description: partial 16S ribosomal RNA
Rfam family: Bacterial small subunit ribosomal RNA
Source: RNAcentral
GAUGAACGCUGGCGGCGUGCCUAAUACAUGCAAGUCGAGCGAACAGAUGAGGAGCUUGCUCCUCUGACGUUAGCGGCGGACGGGUGAGUAACACGUGGAUAACCUACCUAUAAGACUGGGAUAACUUCGGGAAACCGGAGCUAAUACCGGAUAAUAUAUUGAACCGCAUGGUUCAAUAGUGAAAGACGGUUUUGCUGUCACUUAUAGAUGGAUCCGCGCCGCAUUAGCUAGUUGGUAAGGUAACGGCUUACCAAGGCAACGAUGCGUAGCCGACCUGAGAGGGUGAUCGGCCACACUGGAACUGAGACACGGUCCAGACUCCUACGGGAGGCAGCAGUAGGGAAUCUUCCGCAAUGGGCGAAAGCCUGACGGAGCAACGCCGCGUGAGUGAUGAAGGUCUUCGGAUCUUAAACCUCUGUUAUUAGGGAAGAACAAAUGUGUAAGUAACUAUGCACGUCUUGACGGUACCUAAUCAGAAAGCCACGGCUAACUACGUG